Molecule: transfer RNA, 85 nt
Organism: Felis catus (domestic cat)
Lineage: Eukaryota; Metazoa; Chordata; Mammalia; Carnivora; Felidae
Rfam family: tRNA
About the family: Transfer RNA (tRNA) molecules are approximately 80 nucleotides in length. Their secondary structure includes four short double-helical elements and three loops (D, anti-codon, and T loops). Further hydrogen bonds mediate the characteristic L-shaped molecular structure. tRNAs have two regions of fundamental functional importance: the anti-codon, which is responsible for specific mRNA codon recognition, and the 3' end, to which the tRNAs corresponding amino acid is attached (by aminoacyl-tRNA synthetases). tRNAs cope with the degeneracy of the genetic code in two manners: having more than one tRNA (with a specific anti-codon) for a particular amino acid; and 'wobble' base-pairing, i.e. permitting non-standard base-pairing at the 3rd anti-codon position.
Source: Rfam
GCCUGGGUGGCUCAGUCGGUUGAGCGUCUGACUUCGGCUCAGGUCAUGAUCUCAUGGUCUGUGAGUUUGAGCCCCACGUCAGGCU